This 577-nucleotide ribosomal RNA is filed under the name uncultured bacterium. RNAcentral's name for it is "bacterial SSU rRNA". It matches the Rfam family "Bacterial small subunit ribosomal RNA", at positions 102 to 677 of the family's 1533-position model. The record is from RNAcentral.
ACGGGUGAGUAACGCGUAGGAAUCUGCCUUAGAGAGGGGGAUAACCCGGGGAAACUCGGGCUAAUACCGCAUAAUCUCGAGAGAGCAAAGCUAGGUAGCAAUACCCGGCGCUUUAAGAGGAGCCUGCGUCCGAUUAGCUAGUUGGUGGGGUAAAGGCCUACCAAGGCGAUGAUCGGUAGCUGGUCUGAGAGGAUGACCAGCCACACUGGGACUGAGACACGGCCCAGACUCCUACGGGAGGCAGCAGUGGGGAAUAUUGGACAAUGGGGGCAACCCUGAUCCAGCAAUGCCGCGUGUGUGAAGAAGGCCUUCGGGUUGUAAAGCACUUUAGUUGGGGAGGAAGGUUAGUAGUUUAAGAGAUGACUAAUUUGACUGUACCCAAAGAAUAAGCACCGGCUAACUCUGUGCCAGCAGCCGCGGUAAUACAGAGGGUGCGAGCGUUAAUCGGAAUUACUGGGCGUAAAGGGCGCGUAGGCGGUCAUGUAAGUUAGAUGUGAAAUCCCUGGGCUUAACCUAGGAACUGCAUCUAAUACUGUAUGGCUAGAGUGCGGUAGAGGGUAGUGGAAUUUCCGGUGUA